Molecule: ribosomal RNA, 249 nt
Filed under: uncultured bacterium
Lineage: Bacteria
Description: partial 16S ribosomal RNA
Rfam family: Bacterial small subunit ribosomal RNA
Source: RNAcentral
CUUGAUGGCGACCGGCGCACGGGUGAGUAACACGUAUCCAACCUGUCGAUGACUCGGGGAUAGCCUUUCGAAAGAAAGAUUAAUACCCGAUGGCAUAGUUCUUCCGCAUGGUAGAACUAUUAAAGAAUUUCGGUCAUCGAUGGGGAUGCGUUCCAUUAGGUUGUUGGCGGGGUAACGGCCCACCAAGCCUUCGAUGGAUAGGGGUUCUGAGAGGAAGGUCCCCCACAUUGGAACUGAGACACGGUCCAA